Molecule: long non-coding RNA, 620 nt
Organism: Gracilinanus agilis (Agile Gracile Mouse Opossum)
Lineage: Eukaryota; Metazoa; Chordata; Mammalia; Didelphimorphia; Didelphidae
Exons: 2
Source: RefSeq, a predicted model, not a curated record
AACAGGUCUCCAACCUGAUAUUCGUGACUUUCCUGGAAACCUUCCAUGAAACUUACAAUUUGGACCAGGGCAAUGAAAGAUUAAGAUUGUUACAGCAAAAGGACUAUACAUUUUGUUAACCAGAGUUAUAACCAGGAGCUAUUUUAUAGGAGUUAUAUUUCUGAAGGAAAAUUUCUUGCACCUCAUGCAAGAAGCAAAGCUUUUACAACAUAGCAGGCAAACCUGUACACAUAUUGGUUUUUUUUUAUUUUUGUGCCAAGUUAUGACUCCUUUGACCUGAAAACAGAGCAGAGAAGCUGAGCAAAGAAAAUUGCCACAAGAUGAAUUCAUGAACGAGUGCUAUCAUCAUUCUCAAGUAGAGUUGUCUUAAAUUUGAAAAUGUGCCUAAUUUUUAGAAAAUCACAUAAAUCACUAUGAACCGUACACAAAAAUUUGCCUGACAACACCAAUGAACAUGGAAUUCUUCCUCUUUUUCUUUUGCACAAGAAUUUAUGAUUGUAUCUUUUCUUUCAAGUUUCAGAUGAAACCCAGUAGUUCAGAAGAUGAUGAUACGCCACUGAUUACAUUUAAAUGGCUUAACUUUCACUCAUUAUAAACCUAAUAAACUAGUUUUUCUUUAA